This 598-nucleotide ribosomal RNA is filed under the name Alternaria alternata. Its description in RNAcentral is "eukaryotic LSU rRNA". It matches the Rfam family "Eukaryotic large subunit ribosomal RNA", at positions 1 to 601 of the family's 3401-position model. The record is from RNAcentral. Lineage: Eukaryota; Fungi; Ascomycota; Dothideomycetes; Pleosporales; Pleosporaceae.
UUGACCUCGGAUCAGGUAGGGAUACCCGCUGAACUUAAGCAUAUCAAUAAGCGGAGGAAAAGAAACCAACAGGGAUUGCCCUAGUAACGGCGAGUGAAGCGGCAACAGCUCAAAUUUGAAAUCUGGCUCUUUUAGAGUCCGAGUUGUAAUUUGCAGAGGGCGCUUUGGCUUUGGCAGCGGUCCAAGUUCCUUGGAACAGGACGUCACAGAGGGUGAGAAUCCCGUACGUGGUCGCUGGCUAUUGCCGUGUAAAGCCCCUUCGACGAGUCGAGUUGUUUGGGAAUGCAGCUCUAAAUGGGAGGUACAUUUCUUCUAAAGCUAAAUAUUGGCCAGAGACCGAUAGCGCACAAGUAGAGUGAUCGAAAGAUGAAAAGCACUUUGGAAAGAGAGUCAAACAGCACGUGAAAUUGUUGAAAGGGAAGCGCUUGCAGCCAGACUUGCUUACAGUUGCUCAUCCGGGUUUCUACCCGGUGCACUCUUCUGUAGGCAGGCCAGCAUCAGUUUGGGCGGUAGGAUAAAGGUCUCUGUCACGUACCUCCUUUCGGGGAGGCCUUAUAGGGGAGACGACAUACUACCAGCCUGGACUGAGGUCCGCGCA